CAGCAAUGAACAGGCAGGAAACAACACAGCAAAGUGUAGUAGAUAAUCUUUAGACUGCCUUAGAGGAGGACCUUUGUCUUUUUCCUUUCAGAGUCUAGUGUGCUUUGAAGAUGUAGCUGUGCAUUUCACGGAAGAGGAGUGGUGUUGCUGGAUCCUGACCAGAGAGCUUUGCAUAAGGAAGUCAUGGAGGAGAAUGAUGGGAUCAUGGCCUCCCUCGGUGGUGAUGAAUUGGAAAUGAAGAACAGGGGAGACCAUGACAAAACCCACACAGUAGAGAAACCAUAUGAAUAUUUGGAGUGUGGCGAGAGCUCCAUCUCCCUUUCCACUUCCUAUCAAAUAAAUCCUAUGGGAUGAAACCA
Lacerta agilis (Sand lizard) is the source of this 359-nucleotide long non-coding RNA. RefSeq lists it as uncharacterized. The record is from RefSeq and is a predicted model, not a curated record. Lineage: Eukaryota; Metazoa; Chordata; Lepidosauria; Squamata; Lacertidae. The transcript has 2 exons.